Molecule: ribosomal RNA, 479 nt
Filed under: Triticum aestivum (bread wheat)
Lineage: Eukaryota; Viridiplantae; Streptophyta; Magnoliopsida; Poales; Poaceae
Description: partial small subunit ribosomal RNA
Source: RNAcentral
ACUCUCGGUUCCCAAAUCACGUUCUAUUCCCCACGAUCCCCUCCUAGUUGGCCAACGGCAGCGGCGGUGUGGAAUUUUAGGCCGGCGGCGGCGGUGCGUUUUUUCAGGCCGCCGGUGCGGAUUUUCGGGCCGGCGAUGGGGGUGCGGAUUUUUCAGCCCGCCGGCGGCGGUGCGGAUUUGGUGGCGGCCCCCAGAUGUAGCUGAGAUGGGCGGCAAGGCCAAUCCGCUCGAGUAGGAGGAGGAGCUAGAAAUAAUCGCAGGACGAUGUGCUCCCCGAGUUUGAUUUUCGGCUGUCGCUGUACCAGUUUAAUCCCAGCUACAAUGGAAUGGAGUGGAACGUAGAAGGUUGCUGAGAAGGAUGGGCACAAAAUGGAGAAGAAGAUAAUGAAGGAUGAACAAGAAGAGGCUGGACUGUAGGGAUAGGAUGCUUUUCUUUGCUGCUAUCAUGAUUUUUGGCUUUGGAAUGUAAUGGAUGGCGG